GGAAAAGGAUUUUAAAAUGAGUUUUUAAAGCAAAUAAAUAUAUUUGUUUUUAUUAAACGUCAGGAUACAAUAUGAACUCUUCAUGAAUGAUUAUAAUUGACAGAUCUUUGUGCACUAAAAAUAUAAAAUGACUUCUGUGCUGUGUUACCACUGCAGAUCUCUACAAUCAUAGUGUUGCGUUUCGACAUAUAGCUGCUGUUUACACAUUGAUGUGUCUCAUGUAGCUUCUGCAGUCCAUUGUGAUGCCAAAUAUCUAGAAAAUCUAAUUUUUUAGCCAAAUUAUGUUAUUAAAGCUUGCUUGUUACAUUGUGUUCGAUUUUAAAAAGGUAAUUUUAUUUACAGACAUUUAUGUUGCCAAAAACUGCCCGAUCUAUACUUAGGGCUCCCAUACUUGUGAAAACCUUCCAAAACAUCGGGAAUUUAAAAUGAUUUCCAGGCUUGCAAAAAUCAUGAAACAUAAAAUGUUAAAGUCUCAAAAAUGCCUAAAGUGAGUGUAAAUUUGCGCUGACAAUGAGUUUCAGAGUCAUAUGCAUUGAGCUGCAUUCAGAGCUCAGGCUCGAUUUUUUUCUCUUUGGAGAUUUUUUACCCCAUGUAUGGUUGUUUAAAUCACUUAAUUCAGAGAAUUGGUACCUGAGUUACAAAUGAAACUCCAGUAUUGUCUAAAAUUUGAAUUAUGCUUAACCACUAAUAGCUGGAUAUCGUGAUAAUGAACAACUGUUAAUGUCAUGGAAAUGUAUUUGUUCAAUGAUAGGAGCCCUGUGCAAGAUCUAGACCCAGGGCUAUUAAAAUCUUGCCCUGGAGGGCCAGUGCGGUGCAGAGUUUGGCUCCAACCCUGAUCAAAGUCACCUGCCUGUGAUUUUCUAAUGAUCCCAAAAACCCUGAUUAGCAUGCUCAGGUGUGUUUGACUAGGGUUGGAGCCAAACUCUGCACCACAUUGGCCCUCCAGGGCAAGAUUUGAAUAGCCCUGAUCUAGACCGAACACAAAUGCCUUUUGUUGAGCUUCGUUCGUGUUUUCAUGAUUUUUUUUUUUGUUUCGUUUAUAAUAUACUAUAAUGUAUAAUAUAGUACACAAACUACCAUUCAAAAGUUUGGGGUCAGCAAGAUUUUUUUUAAAUUAAUACUUUCAAUUGAUAAAGUUGACACUAAAGAUAUUAAUAAUGUUGCAAGACAUUUCUUUUUCAAAUAAAGGCUGUUCUUUUGAACUUUCUACUCGCCAAAGAAUCAUAAAAUAAUCAGUUUACUGUAUUUUUUAAUAAAUAAAUGGAACCUUUGUUAGAACAAGACAAAAAUCCUACAGACCCCAACGAGUUGAACUGUAGUGUACAGUAUAUUUUCUUCAUAGAUUUUACUUUACUAGUUGAAGUUAAUAUUUUGCAUUCCAUUUUCAAUCACUGUGUGCAUGUUACACUUUUAUUUCCACAAUUUUUAUAUUUCACAUUGCUGUAGAUGUGUAAUGUGUUGAGAUUUAUGUGCAAAUCAGUAAAUACCAAAAAACCAAAGCAUGCUACAAAUGAGUGUGUUCAGUUGAACAUGCAGCAUUACUCAUACUGUCACAUACAUGAGUGUAUUGUCUCAUACUCACAGCUGUCAAUAAAACAGUUAUGGCAUUAGAA
This is a long non-coding RNA of Carassius carassius (crucian carp), 1613 nucleotides long. RefSeq lists it as uncharacterized. The record is from RefSeq and is a predicted model, not a curated record. NCBI's taxonomy places the organism in Eukaryota, Metazoa, Chordata, Actinopteri, Cypriniformes, Cyprinidae. The transcript is spliced from 2 exons.